This 2625-nucleotide long non-coding RNA is filed under the name Sus scrofa (pig). RNAcentral describes it as "lncRNA (ENSSSCG00060067595.1)". Lineage: Eukaryota; Metazoa; Chordata; Mammalia; Artiodactyla; Suidae. The record is from RNAcentral.
UUUCUUUUAGAUUGGGUUUUAUAUUGCUAUAGGCUCUUAGUUUUUGUUUGUUGGAGAAAUUCUUUAUUUCUCCUUUUAUUUUAAAUGAUAUUCUUGCUGGGUGGAGUAUUCUAGGUGCGAAUUUAUCCAUUUUAGAACUUUGAAUACAUUUUGCCACUUUCUUCUGGCCUACAUUGUUUCUUUAGAGAAAUCAGCUGAUAAUCUUAUGUGGGUUCCCUUAUAAUUAAUUCUUUGUUUUUCUCUUGCUGCCUUUAGAAUCCUCUCAUCUUUAACUUUUGCCCAUUUUAUUAUAUUGUGUCUUGGUGUGGGCCUGUUUUGGUUCAACUCACUUGGGGCCCUCUGUGAUUGAUACCCUAUAUCUUGAUAUCUGCUUCCUUUAGAUAUGGAAAGUUUUAAGCCAUACUUCCUUCAAUAGAUCUUCAAUCCCCUUUUCUUUUUCUUCUCCUUCUGGAAUUCCUAUUAUGCAUAGAUUGGCCUGUUUUAUAUUAUCCCAUAGAUCUCUUAUAUUGCCUUCAUGUUUUCUCAUUUGGUUUUCUGUCUGCUGUCCUGAUUGUGUGAUUUUCAUUAUUCUAUCUUCCAAGUCACUUAGUUGUUCCUCACAUUUUUCAUUCCGCUCUUCAGUGCCUUUAACUCACUUGUGACUAUACAAAUGAAUUUUAUAAUUUUUCUUGGCUCCUUCUUAUAUUUUCUAGUUCCUUUCUGAAGUAAUCUGCUUUACUCUUCAUAUACGCUCUUAAUUUCUGCAUAUUCGCUCUUAAUUCCUUCAGUAUUUUCACUAUAUCCUUUUGAACUUGGUUUCUGUUAGACUGUAGAGGUCUGUUUCACUGUUUGUUCUUUCGGGGGAUUCUCCUGUUCUUUUAACUGGGAAUGGUUCCAGAGCUUCUUCAUUUUGCUUAUAUUUUUCUUAUUCUGUGAGUUUUGGGAAAACAAAUACUGUAGUCUUGGGAUGCUAUUUAUAUGUGAGAGUGCCUCUGGAUAUUUUGUGAGGGCUUAUUGUGGUUGUUACUGUUGUUAUUAUUAUUAGUGUGAGGGCUGCUUUUGGUUUGGAUGCUUGAUGUCUCCUUCCUCAGUGUGUGCAGGCUGUUAUUCCUGUGUUGGUGUAUACCCUGUGGUUGAUUCCAGGGGGAUGAAAGCAAUGGGCAGGGCUAGUAGCCAGUGCCUGGUUGCUUGGCCCUUGACAGUGGCAAGGACCUGUGGGGAGGUGGCGUAAGCUGCACCUGGUUGCAGGGUCCUGGGACAUGGCUCUGACUCUCAGGCAGGUGGUGUGUGUGUGUGUGUGUGUGUGUGUGUGUGUGUGUGUGUGUGUUCCCAUGGGAAUAAGAGCAGAAAUGGGUGGUGCUUGGUUUCACUGCCCUCCUCUGUGCCAAAUUCUGAGGUGACUGGGGCCAUAGGUGGUGUCUGUUCAUGGACCCCUAAUGUUAGCAGGCCACACCCUCUGGAGUCUGAGAUGGCUAUGGUGGUUUGCCUCUGCCACCCUUAGCCCUUGCCAGUGGCACCCUGCUGCCCAAGAGCCUGCACCUGUGCAGAGAAGAUAUUCCUAUGAUAAUCCACCCCUUCUCCUCAUCUUCCCCAACAAUGGUGCCUUGCCCAUCCUAUGAGCCCAGGCCUCCUCCUGUGCUCCCUUGGCUGUCAUGCUGCCAUGGUGCACUGCUCCCUAGCCCUCAUGCUGCCUCCACACAGCCAACCCUAGCCCUCUCCCCAAAACUGAUCUCCAGAGCUUGAGUCUCAGCUCCCAGCCCCCAUCUGAGCAUCUCAGGCUGUGGUGUUGGGGGAUGGUGGUAGCAAUGGCUUGUGUAGCUCUCUGCUUUGCCCUCCUCAGUUCAACUACUGCACUUUUCUCUGAGGCUUGAAAUCCCUCCAUCUUGGCUGAUCUCCCUGUCACUUAGGUGGCUUCCUGGGUGCAAGUGCCUUUCCUCUUUCACAGCUUCCUCUCAGGAGUGCUGGCUGGUCCCAUAUUGACUCCUUUUUCUCUCUCUUCUUUCUUUCCUUUUUUUUUCCUUUUGUUCUACACAGCUAUGUGGAGGGUUUAUUGCCCUUUUUAGAGGUUUAAGAUCUCCUAGUUUUCAGUAGAUGUUUUGUGUGAAUUGUUCUACAUGGAGAUUUUUUUUUGUUGUUGUUUUUUGGGAAUUUUUUUUGAUAUGUUUGUUGGAGAAGGUGAGCACCAUGUCUUAAUACUCUAACAUCUUGACCUCUUUCUAUUGUGCUAUUUUUUAAGGCCAAGUAGUAUUUCAUUGUAUAUAUGUACCAUAUCUUUUUUAAUUUUAUUUAUUUAUUUAUUUAUUUAUUUUUUCCCGCUAUACAGCAUGGGGACCAAGUUACUCUUACAUGUAUGCAUUUUUUCCCCCACCCUUUGUUCUGUUGCAAUAUAAGUAUCUAGACAUAGUUCUCAAUGCUACUCAGCAGGAUCUCCUUGUAAAUCUAUUCUAAGUUGUGUCUGAUAAGCCCAAGCUCCCGAUCCCUCCCAUUCCCUCCCCCUCCCAUCAGGCAGCCACAAGUCUCUUCUCCAAGUCCAUGAUUUUCUUUUCUGAGGAGAUGUUCAUUUGUGCUGGAUAUUAGAUUCCAGUUAUAAGUGAUAUCAUAUGGUAUUUGUCUUUGUCUUUCUGGCUCAUUUCACUCAGUAUGAGA